GUGAGGAAUUUUCCGCAAUGGGCGAAAGCCUGACGGAGCAAUGCCGCGUGAAGGAUGAAGGCCUAUGGGUUGUAAACUUCUUUUCUCAGAAAAGAAUUAUGACGGUAUCUGAGGAAUAAGCAUCGGCUAACUCUGUUCCAGCAGCCGCGGUAAGACAGAGGAUGCAAGCGUUAUCCGGAAUGAUUGGGCGUAAAGCGUCUGUAGGUUGUUUAAAAAGUAUUCUGUCAAAGAUUAGGGCUUAACCCUAGAUAGGCAGAAUAAACUUUUAAGCUAGAGUUUGGUAGAGGCAGAGGGAAUUCCCGGUGGAGCGGUGAAAUGCGUAGAUAUCGGGAGGAACACCAAAGGCGAAGGCACUCUGCUGGGCCAAUACUAACACUGAGAGACGAAAGCGAGGGGAGCAAAUGGGAUUAGAUACCCGGGUAGUCC
Molecule: ribosomal RNA, 426 nt
Filed under: uncultured bacterium
Lineage: Bacteria
Description: partial 16S ribosomal RNA
Rfam family: Bacterial small subunit ribosomal RNA
Source: RNAcentral